UGAGGAAUAUUGGUCAAUGGUCGAGAGACUGAACCAGCCAUGCCGCGUGAAGGUGACGGCCCUAUGGGUCUUAAACUUCUUUUGCAGGGGAGCAAUAAGGUCCACGUGUGGAUCGAUGAGAGUACCCUGCGAAUAAGCAUCGGCUAACUCCGUGCCAGCAGCCGCGGUAAUACGGGGGAUGCAAGCGUUAUCCGGAUUUAUUGGGUUUAAAGGGUGCGUAGGCGGUCUGGUAAGUCAGCGGUGAAAUUUUCGAGCUCAACUUGAAACGUGCCGUUGAUACUGUCGGACUAGAAUGCGGAUGCCGUGGGAGGAAUGUGUGGUGUAGCGGUGAAAUGCAUAGAUAUCACACAGAACACCGAUUGCGAAGGCAUCUCACGAAUCCGCAAUUGACGCUGAGGCACGAAAGCGUGGGGAUCAAACAGG
Molecule: ribosomal RNA, 423 nt
Filed under: uncultured prokaryote
Also listed under: 1 other name
Description: bacterial SSU rRNA
Rfam family: Bacterial small subunit ribosomal RNA
Source: RNAcentral